RNAcentral lists this transfer RNA (87 nucleotides) under Myxococcales bacterium. RNAcentral describes it as "tRNA-Leu". It matches the Rfam family "tRNA". Rfam says of the family: Transfer RNA (tRNA) molecules are approximately 80 nucleotides in length. Lineage: Bacteria; Pseudomonadati; Myxococcota; Myxococcia; Myxococcales. The record is from RNAcentral. RNAcentral also lists the same sequence under 1 other name.
GGCCGAGUGGCGGAAUUGGCAGACGCGCCGGAUUCAAAAUCCGGUGUCCUCACAGGCGUGUCGGUUCGAGUCCGACCUCGGCCACCA